RNAcentral lists this ribosomal RNA (301 nucleotides) under uncultured bacterium. RNAcentral describes it as "partial 16S ribosomal RNA". It matches the Rfam family "Bacterial small subunit ribosomal RNA", at positions 509 to 807 of the family's 1533-position model. The record is from RNAcentral.
CAGUCGCCGCGGGAAUACAGAGGAUGCAAGCGUUAUCCGGAAUGAUUGGGCGUAAAGCGUCUGUAGGUGGCUUUUCAAGUCCGCCGUCAAAUCCCAGGGCUCAACCCUGGACAGGCGGUGGAAACUACCAAGCUGGAGUACGGUAGGGGCAGAGGGAAUUUCUGGUGGAGCGGUGAAAUGCGUUGAGAUCGGAAAGAACACCAACGGUGAAAGCACUCUGCUGGGCCGACACUGACACUGAGAGACGAAAGCUAGGGGAGCAAAUGGGAUUAGAUACCCCGGUAGUCCCUGUCUCUUAUAC